Molecule: ribosomal RNA, 253 nt
Filed under: uncultured bacterium
Lineage: Bacteria
Description: partial 16S ribosomal RNA
Rfam family: Bacterial small subunit ribosomal RNA
Source: RNAcentral
UACGUAGGGGGCAAGCGUUGUCCGGAUUUACUGGGCGUAAAGAGCGUGUAGGCGGCCUGACAGGUCUGCUGUGAAAACUCGAGGCUCAACCUCGAGAUGUCGGCGGAAACCGUCUGGCUAGAGUCCGGAAGAGGAGAGUGGAAUUCCUGGUGUAGCGGUGAAAUGCGCAGAUAUCAGGAAGAACACCUAUGGCGAAGGCAGCUCUCUGGGACGGUACUGACGCUGAGACGCGAAAGCGUGGGGAGCGAACAGG